This is a long non-coding RNA of Canis lupus familiaris (dog), 1519 nucleotides long. RefSeq lists it as uncharacterized. The transcript is spliced from 6 exons. The record is from RefSeq and is a predicted model, not a curated record. Lineage: Eukaryota; Metazoa; Chordata; Mammalia; Carnivora; Canidae.
GGGGCGACUCACCGUGGCGGACGCCAGGCUGUUGUCGGCCAGCGUUAGGUGGUGCGGCUCCCAGCGCCUCAGGAAUUUCGAGACCAGGCCCCGCACGAGGCUGGGAGAGAACCCUACUGGAAGCACCCUGGUGUCACCGAGGACCUCCAACUCUGCAACAAGGACAUGUCCUUUCUGUCUUCGGGAGAGGCACCUAAAGCCACCCAGCAAAUGCUCAGCUUCCCCGCCAGGCUUUCUCACAGCCACACACGUCUGCAGGAGCCCAGAAGACACAAAUCAUUAUCAUCCCCCUCUUAAAGGUGAGGAAGUUAAGGCUCAGAGAUGAUCAGACACCUGGUGGGAAUCCAGCCAAGUUUGAAGUGAGUGACACGGAGCCCCCAAGAUGCUGCAAGAAGAGUUCCAUGAAGGCAGAAGCCAACAGUUCCUGGCUCACGGCAGAGCUAGCUUAGCGCCUGCACGUGAUCAGGCUUAACAAGGUAAUCUCGAGGGUGAUCUCAAGUAACGAAGCACGGAUAAGGAGGACUUCUGUACUGCAGAUCCACUCACACAAGAUACUGCCCUCCCAGGGCUCAUAGGUCGUAGACAUUAAAUGAGAUCAUCAGCAUUGGGCUCACAGCCUGGCACAGAGCAGGUGCCCUGGAUCCGCGGUAGCCACCUGGCAUGGCUACUGUCAGUUUAGAACCGCGCUGACCCGGCCCCGAGCGCUGGCUUUCCAUCUAUUCCACUCGUCCAGACCUUCCCCACUUGCCCAGUGACUGGCACACUCUCACGACAGCAUCUCUGCAGGGUUUCCAGCCUUGGCACUAGUCAUGUUUGGGGCCGGACAGUCCUUCCUGGCAGGCAGCUGUUCUGUGCACCCUGAGGUACUUAGCAGCAUCCCUGGCCUCUACCCACACACACUAGUAGCAGCCACAGGCUGUGACAACCAGAAUGUCUCCAGACAGUGCCUCGUGUCACCUAGAAGGCUAAAUGACCCCCCAGUUGAGAACCUGUGGCUUGAAAGAAGAUGUUUUCCCGCCCUGCAGCUGGUACCUGCUGCUUCCCAGGCCUCCUGUGGGCUGCCGUCUGCGGGAGCUCAUAUUGUCCACGCCCAGGCAAUCCAUGUUCCUCCUCAGAUGCCACUUCCCCAGGGGCUGGAGCAGACACAGCUGGCUUCCUCAGGCUGUCAAGGAACACGGGGACCCACAGGAUAGAAGAAGUUGCAACCUGUUUGAAGUCGUGUUUUUGGAGCCUCUUUAAUGGCAUGAGCCCAUGCCUGUAAUAAAAUGCCAAGCACCAAAAGCAGGCAAGAAAAUUGUUCUUAAGUGGUCCCAAUUUCACACCUACCCAUGGCGCUAUUUCUUUUGGGGGAACUCUCCGGAAGCUUCGUCUGAAAACUCCGUCUCAAAAUUACAUCAGCCAGGAGAGCAUUCCCAAACCUCAUUUUUAACAGGCAUGAGACACCAACAUAAUGGAACACACACUCCAUCCUGGUGGCAUUUAAUGUACUGAUCAAAUAAUAAAAUGUGCUUAUUCUUCU